Molecule: ribosomal RNA, 987 nt
Filed under: uncultured bacterium
Lineage: Bacteria
Description: bacterial SSU rRNA
Rfam family: Bacterial small subunit ribosomal RNA
Source: RNAcentral
AGAGUUUGAUCCUGGCUCAGAGCGAACGCUGGCGGCGUGCUUAACACAUGCAAGUCGAACGCGCAGCAUUCUGUAGCAAUACAGGGUGUGGGCGCGUGGCGAACGGGUGCGUAACACGUGGAUAACCUUCCUUCAGGUGGGGAAUAACCCAGUGAAAAUUGGGCUAAUACCGCAUAACAUCGCGAUGGCACAUGCUGUUGCGUUCAAAGGCGCAAGUCGCCAGAAGAGGGAUCCGCGGCCGAUUAGCUUGUUGGCGGGGUAACGGCCCACCAAGGCUUUGAUCGGUAGCCGGACUGAGAGGUUGGCCGGCCACACUGGAACUGAGACACGGUCCAGACUCCUACGGGAGGCAGCAGUGGGGAAUCUUGCACAAUGGACGAAAGUCUGAUGCAGCAACGCCGCGUGGGGGAUGAAGCUUCUCGGAGUGUAAACCCCUUUCGACCCGGACGAAUGCCCGCAAGGGCUUGACGGUACGGGUAUAAGAAGCCCCGGCUAACUACGUGCCAGCAGCCGCGGUAAUACGUAGGGGGCCAGCGUUGCUCGGAAUUACUGGGCGUAAAGGGUCCGUAGGCGGUGCGGCAAGUCGAUAGUGAAAUCUCUGGGCUUAACUCAGAGGCUGCUAACGAAACUGCCGUGCUAGAGUGUGAGAGAGGCGAGUGGAAUUACGGGUGUAGCGGUGAAAUGCGUAGAUAUCCGUAGGAACAUCCGAGGCGAAAGCGGCUCGCUGGAUCACAACUGACGCUGAGGGACGAAAGCUAGGGGAGCAAACAGGAUUAGAUACCCUGGUAGUCCUAGCCCUAAACCAUCAGGACUUGGGGUUUGCCCUGUACGGGGCAAGUCCCGUAGCUAACGCGUUAAGUCCUGCGCCUGGGGAGUACGGUCGCAAGGCUGAAACUCAAAGGAAUUGACGGGGGCCCGCACAAGCGGUGGAACAUGUGGUUCAAUUCGACGCAACGCGAAGAACCUUACCUGGGCUUGAACCGCACA